RNAcentral lists this ribosomal RNA (418 nucleotides) under uncultured bacterium. RNAcentral describes it as "bacterial SSU rRNA". It matches the Rfam family "Bacterial small subunit ribosomal RNA", at positions 355 to 775 of the family's 1533-position model. The record is from RNAcentral.
UGGGGAAUCUUGCGCAAUGGCCGCAAGGCUGACGCAGCGACGCCGCGUGUGGGAGGACGCCCUUCGGGGUGUAAACCACUGUUGCCCGGGACGAAACCCGCUUCGAGCGGAUUGACGGUACCGGGUGAGGAAGCACCGGCUAACUCCGUGCCAGCAGCCGCGGUAAUACGGAGGGUGCGAGCGUUGUCCGGAAUCACUGGGCGUAAAGGGCGCGUAGGCGGUUGGAGAAGGCUGUGGUGAAAGUCCGGGGCUCAACCCCGGAUCGGCCGUGGCGACUCUCUGACUGGAGCACUGUAGAGGCGGGUGGAAUUCCGGGUGUAGCGGUGGAAUGCGUAGAGAUCCGGAAGAACACCGGUGGCGAAGGCGGCCCGCUGGGCAGUAGCUGACGCUGAGGCGCGACAGCGUGGGGAGCAAACAG